GACGAACGCUGGCGGCGUGCUUCAUACAUGCAAGUCGAACGAGAAGCUGACGUCUGUCCGUGGAAAGUGGCGGACGGGGGUGUAAUAUGUAGGAAAUCUGCCUUUAGGAGGGGGACAACAGUGGGAAACUUCUGCUAAUACCCCAUAUGAGCGUAGCUGAGAUGCUAUUCUUGCAAACUCCGGUGCCUAAAGAUGAGCCUGCAUCUGAUUAGCUAGUUGUUAGUGUGAUGGACUACCAAGGCGACGAUCAGUAGCUGGUUUGCGAGGAUGAUCAGCCAAAAUGGGACUGAGACACGGCCCAUACACCUACGGGAGGCAGCAGUAGGGAAUUUUGCGCAAUGGGCGAAAGUCUGACGCAGCAACGCCGCGUGAACGAUUAAGCCCUUCGGGGUGUAAAGUUCUGUCAGUGGGGACGAAACUUGACGGUACCAACAGAGGAAGCACCGGCUAACUCCGUG
This 458-nucleotide ribosomal RNA is filed under the name uncultured bacterium. RNAcentral's name for it is "partial 16S ribosomal RNA". It matches the Rfam family "Bacterial small subunit ribosomal RNA", at positions 28 to 507 of the family's 1533-position model. The record is from RNAcentral.